RNAcentral lists this unclassified non-coding RNA (274 nucleotides) under Hevea brasiliensis (rubber tree). Lineage: Eukaryota; Viridiplantae; Streptophyta; Magnoliopsida; Malpighiales; Euphorbiaceae. The record is from RNAcentral.
UCAAGCCAGGGAGUCUUCAAUACCUGAUUCUUUAGAUCCCAGGCCAACUUCUAAGUCUACUCCGAUGAUCGUCUGGCAAGCGUUCAUCGGUGUCAUCUUAUAUGUAGUUAUUGUUGUAGUUAUAUUCCUGGUUAGUGGAAGAUUCAAGGGAACUACUACAUUCAAGCCGGUGGAUGCGUUGUACUUCACUGUGGUUACACUGUGCACCAUAGGAUUUGGUGACAUUGUGCCUGACUCCGCAUUUACCAAGCUUUUUACUUGUGUUCUCAUAUUG